RNAcentral lists this unclassified non-coding RNA (240 nucleotides) under soil metagenome. RNAcentral describes it as "partial contains 5.8S ribosomal RNA, internal transcribed spacer 2, and large subunit ribosomal RNA". The record is from RNAcentral.
AACACUGUUAACCUGCGGUACCUGCGGAAGGAUCAUUAACCUUUCAAAAAACAGGGUGCGUCGCGGCCCCCCUCCGGGGGCGGUUUGGGGUCCUCCCCUUCACGCGCGCACGACUGCAUCCUUACUUUACGAGCACCUUCUGUUCUCCCUCGGCGGGGCAACCUGCCGUUGGAACCGAAUAAACCCUUUUUUGCAUCCAGCAUUACCCGUUCCGAAACAAACAAUCGUUACAACUUUCAA